UAGGGAAUCUUCGGCAAUGGGGGGAACCCUGACCGAGCAACGCCGCGUGAUUUAGAAGGCCUUCGGGUUGUAAAAAUCUUUUGUAUGGGAAGAAAAUGACAGUACCAUACGAAUAAGGACCGGCUAAUUACGUGCCAGCAGCCGCGGUAAUACGUAAGGUCCGAGCGUUGUCCGGAAUCAUUGGGCGUAAAGGGUACGUAGGCGGAUAAGCAAGUUAGAAGUGAAAUCCUAUAGCUCAACUAUAGUAAGCUUUUAAAACUGCUCAUCUUGAGGUAUGGAAGGGAAAGUGGAAUUCCUAGUGUAGCGGUGAAAUGCGCAGAUAUUAGGAGGAAUACCGGUGGCGAAGGCGACUUUCUGGCCAUAUACUGACGCUGAGGUACGAAAGCGUGGGUAGCAAACAGG
RNAcentral lists this ribosomal RNA (402 nucleotides) under Verrucomicrobiota bacterium. RNAcentral describes it as "Verrucomicrobia bacterium partial 16S ribosomal RNA". It matches the Rfam family "Bacterial small subunit ribosomal RNA", at positions 355 to 776 of the family's 1533-position model. Lineage: Bacteria; Pseudomonadati; Verrucomicrobiota. The record is from RNAcentral.